CAAUAGCGUAUAUUAAAGUUGUUGCGGUUAAAAAGCUCGUAGUUGGAUUUCUGCUGAGAACGACCGGUCCGCCCUUUGGGUGUGUAUCUGGCUCUUUCUUGGCAUCUUCUUGGUGAACGUUGCUGCACUUGACUGUGUGGAGCGCUACCCAGGACUUUUACUUUGAGGAAAAUAGAGUGUUUCAAGCAGGCAUACGCCUUGAAUACAUUAGCAUGGAAUAAUAAGAUAGGACCUCGGUUCUAUUUUGUUGGUUUCUAGAGCUGAGGUAAUGAUUAAUAGGGAUAGUUGGGGGCAUUCGUAUUUAACUGUCAGAGGUGAAAUUCUUGGAUUUGUUAAAGACGGACUACUGCGAAANCANNNGCCAAGGAUGUUUUCAUNGA
RNAcentral lists this ribosomal RNA (380 nucleotides) under uncultured eukaryote. RNAcentral's name for it is "partial 18S ribosomal RNA". It matches the Rfam family "Eukaryotic small subunit ribosomal RNA", at positions 592 to 976 of the family's 1831-position model. The record is from RNAcentral.